Molecule: ribosomal RNA, 253 nt
Filed under: uncultured bacterium
Lineage: Bacteria
Description: partial 16S ribosomal RNA
Rfam family: Bacterial small subunit ribosomal RNA
Source: RNAcentral
UACGUAGGGGGCUAGCGUUGUCCGGAAUCAUUGGGCGUAAAGCGCGUGUAGGCGGUUCGGUAAGUCCGCUGUGAAAGUCGGGGGCUCAACCCUCGGAUGCCGGUGGAUACUGUCGAGCUUGAGUACGGAAGAGGCGAGUGGAAUUCCUGGUGUAGCGGUGAAAUGCGCAGAUAUCAGGAGGAAUACCAAUUGCGAAGGCAGCUCGCUGGGACGUUACUGACGCUGAGACGCGAAAGCGUGGGGAGCAAACAGG